AAGAUUAUACUCUCAGGGAUCAUUUCUACAGUUUGUUACUAGAGAGGUCCCUCUGAACGUAUAGAGCUCCUGAAACCAUGAGGAGGAGGCACAGUGUUCUCUCCUGAGCGUGAAGCCGGCUCUUGGUGUUGCUUCUGCAAUCGCCAUUUGCCACUGAUGAUCGUUCUUCUCUUCCUCUGGGAGAGCAAGAGGAGGAGGAUGCUGUCUGAGUGGA
Small nucleolar RNA from Diceros bicornis minor, 214 nucleotides. RefSeq annotates it as small nucleolar RNA U3. NCBI's taxonomy places the organism in Eukaryota, Metazoa, Chordata, Mammalia, Perissodactyla, Rhinocerotidae. The record is from RefSeq and is a predicted model, not a curated record. The transcript has a single exon.